Molecule: ribosomal RNA, 253 nt
Filed under: uncultured bacterium
Lineage: Bacteria
Description: partial 16S ribosomal RNA
Rfam family: Bacterial small subunit ribosomal RNA
Source: RNAcentral
UACAGAGGUCCCAAGCGUUGUUCGGAUUCACUGGGCGUAAAGGGUGCGUAGGCGGCGAGGUAAGUCGGAUGUGAAAUCUCCGAGCUCAACUCGGAAAUGGCAUUGGAAACUACCUUGCUCGAGGGUUGGAGGGGGGACUGGAAUACUUGGUGUAGCAGUGAAAUGCGUAGAUAUCAAGUGGAACACCAGUGGCGAAGGCGAGUCCCUGGACAACUCCUGACACUGAGGCACGAAAGCUAGGGGAGCAAACAGG